AUACGUAGGGGGCGAGCGUUGUCCGGAAUUACUGGGCGUAAAGGGUGCGUAGGCGGAAUGUCAAGUCAGAUGUGAAAUACCCGGGCUUAACCCGGGGGCUGCAUUUGAAACUGACAUCCUUGAGUGCAGGAGAGGCAAGUGGAAUUCCUAGUGUAGCGGUGAAAUGCGUAGAUAUUAGGAGGAACACCGGUGGCGAAGGCGACUUGCUGGACUGAAACUGACGCUGAGGCACGAAAGCGUGGGGAGCAAACAGGAUUAGAUACCCUGGUAGUCCACGCCGUAAACGAUGGAUACUAGGUGUGGGGUCCGAUAGGAUUCCGUGCCGCAGCAAACGCAAUAAGUAUCCCGCCUGGGGAGUACGAUCGCAAGGUUGAAACUCAAAGGAAUCGACGGGG
Molecule: ribosomal RNA, 395 nt
Filed under: uncultured bacterium
Lineage: Bacteria
Description: partial 16S ribosomal RNA
Rfam family: Bacterial small subunit ribosomal RNA
Source: RNAcentral